RNAcentral lists this ribosomal RNA (637 nucleotides) under uncultured bacterium. RNAcentral describes it as "bacterial SSU rRNA". It matches the Rfam family "Bacterial small subunit ribosomal RNA", at positions 607 to 1244 of the family's 1533-position model. The record is from RNAcentral.
GCUUAACCGGAGAAGUGCAUCGGAAACUGGAUAACUUGAGUGCAGAAGAGGGUAGUGGAACUCCAUGUGUAGCGGUGGAAUGCGUAGAUAUAUGGAAGAACACCAGUGGCGAAGGCGGCUACCUGGUCUGCAACUGACGCUGAGACUCGAAAGCAUGGGUAGCGAACAGGAUUAGAUACCCUGGUAGUCCAUGCCGUAAACGAUGAGUGCUAGGUGUUGGAGGGUUUCCGCCCUUCAGUGCCGGAGCUAACGCAUUAAGCACUCCGCCUGGGGAGUACGACCGCAAGGUUGAAACUCAAAGGAAUUGACGGGGGCCCGCACAAGCGGUGGAGCAUGUGGUUUAAUUCGAAGCUACGCGAAGAACCUUACCAGGUCUUGACAUCUUGCGCCAACCCUAGAGAUAGGGCGUUUCCUUCGGGAACGCAAUGACAGGUGGUGCAUGGUCGUCGUCAGCUCGUGUCGUGAGAUGUUGGGUUAAGUCCCGCAACGAGCGCAACCCUUGUUACUAGUUGCCAGCAUUAAGUUGGGCACUCUAGUGAGACUGCCGGUGACAAACCGGAGGAAGGUGGGGACGACGUCAGAUCAUCAUGCCCCUUAUGACCUGGGCUACACACGUGCUACAAUGGACGGUACAACG